CAGUAGCCGCGGUAAUACAGAGGGUGCGAGCGUUAAUCGGAUUUACUGGACGUAAAGCGUGUGUAGGUUGUUGUUCAAGUCAGUUGUGAAAUCCCUGGGCUCAACCUGGGAACUGCUUCUGAGACUGAACGACUAGAGUACGGUAGAGGGUGGUGGAAUUUCCGGUGUAGCGGUGAAAUGCGUAGAUAUCGGAAGGAACAUCAAUGGCAAAGGCAGCCACCUGGACUGAUACUGACACUGAGGUGCGAAAGCGUGGGGAGCAAACAGGAUUAGAUACCCCUGUAGUCCCUGUCUCUUAUAU
Molecule: ribosomal RNA, 301 nt
Filed under: uncultured bacterium
Lineage: Bacteria
Description: partial 16S ribosomal RNA
Rfam family: Bacterial small subunit ribosomal RNA
Source: RNAcentral